GAGCGCGUGAGUGGUGUUUGGCGUGUAUGGGCAUGUUGGAUCCCUGCUCGGGCAGCGACGRCAUCUCAUGUGCGCCUCUUCAGUUGUUGGUGCAAGCGCGUGCUUGGCCGAAGUUGGUUUUCCUGUGUUGAAUACCUAUCUCGAAGGCAUUCCGUUYGCUAUAAAUGGGUGUUUUUCCACCUCGUGCUGCUGCUCCUUGCGGGGAAGCGGUGCGGGGAGGACCCCAAGGCRGCCGCUGUGUUUCGCACCGUGUUCACCCCUACGGGUGGUCCGGUUGACGACCCAUGGCGCGAUGCUCGAUCUCUUGGGUACGGAACAUGRCGUGGGUACGAGGCCGUCGGCCUCCGAUCACCACAACAACAAGCGUUCUACGCUUCGUGCGAACGACGGUCGGCUCGGUCUUUGGUCGUGCUCUCGUAGCUCGAUUGGAGU
RNAcentral lists this unclassified non-coding RNA (432 nucleotides) under Vuhuangia penduliflora. RNAcentral describes it as "Elsholtzia penduliflora partial external transcribed spacer". Lineage: Eukaryota; Viridiplantae; Streptophyta; Magnoliopsida; Lamiales; Lamiaceae. The record is from RNAcentral.